ACGGUUAUAAGUUAAUGGUAGACUACUUAGCCACCAACUAAGAUAUGUCGAUUCGAUUUCGACUAACCGUA
Aspergillus ustus is the source of this 71-nucleotide transfer RNA. It matches the Rfam family "tRNA". Rfam says of the family: Transfer RNA (tRNA) molecules are approximately 80 nucleotides in length. Their secondary structure includes four short double-helical elements and three loops (D, anti-codon, and T loops). Lineage: Eukaryota; Fungi; Ascomycota; Eurotiomycetes; Eurotiales; Aspergillaceae. The record is from Rfam.